Long non-coding RNA from Solanum tuberosum (potato), 3344 nucleotides. RefSeq lists it as uncharacterized. The record is from RefSeq and is a predicted model, not a curated record. Lineage: Eukaryota; Viridiplantae; Streptophyta; Magnoliopsida; Solanales; Solanaceae. The transcript has 5 exons.
AAUAAUGAUGCCAUUAUUUCGAAUUACUGAAAUUCACUAUUUUAUUUUCUUAAUUUCACUUCUUGAUCCAAGUUUCCAUCUAUGUUGUUCGGAUUCUCUAAAAAUGUCAUCGCAUCCAUGUCUUGAUUCUUCAAAAAAGCAAUAUUUCUGAAGAAUUCACUUCGAAUCUGACCACAUUUUUGAAAAAUCCGAGCAAUAAAUAUAGAUUUCAUUCCGAAUUUCAAAAGAAGAAAAAAAGAAGACGCACUACCUUUUCUAUAAAGUUUUGGCAUAGUAUUAAUACUGUUUUUGUGACACAAAUCUAGACAUAUACUGACGUAUUGUUAUUAUUACAUAUAUAUAGAAAAAAAUGUGAUCUCCAGGAAUUUGGAAGUCACUAUCAUCUACUUUAACUUGAGGCUCCCACUAGUUAUAUAUAAAUUAUUUAUUCUUUAAAAAGAAGAAUAUUAAUUAAAUCACCGAAGAUAAUUACAUGUAACUGUCCAUAACCAGGGGUAUGUGUUAAGUAUUUUAUGUUCGCGGACGAAAUGAGUUGUUAUAAUCUUCUUAUUUAAGGGCAACUUUUAACUUAUGAGCUAGUUUUGGAAAUUAAGUUUGGGCACUAUAUAAUGUUUAUUUCUUAUUAUAGUAUCAGAGUCUGUACGAUCCAUUCCUAUUUUUUGGUUAUUUAUUUCGUAUUGGUUCUCAAUGUUAUAUUGUCCACACUCCAGUUGUUCAGUCUUGAGGGUGUGUGAGGAUGUGUUACAUACAUAUUGAUGGAGGAAACGGAUCGUUUGGGCAAUCAUAAUCCUUUAUGCUAGUUUUUUAGAUUGAGUUAUGUCCGACGUUUAUAGUCUAUAUGAGACUCGGACUUGUUCCUAUGUUUUGGUUAUUUACUAAAUGUUUGAUGUCAAUAUUAUGUUUGUCCACGCCCUAGAUGUUCAAUCCUGGGCAUACUUUCAGAAAGUGUUAAUGUCACACAUAUUGUCUGAGGAAAUGAAUCGUUAUCUCCUUAUAAUGGUUUCGUGCAAUCAUAACCUUUUAAGCUAGUUUUUGAGAUUGAGUUAGGCCCAACGUUCAUUUCUUAUUGAUAAAUGGGAGAUAUGCUAUGUUGUGACUAGUUAUUUUAUUCUUCUCUAUGCUUUCAUGUUUUGGGAUUGAGUUAGGUCCGACCUUAAUUAUUAUUUUCUACUUCAAAAAAUGGUGCAUGGUACCUACUAUUAUUCUUUCCAAUGCUAUAAUAAUUCUAUUCAUUGUCUGUAUAUAUAUAUUAACAAAGCUGAGUUUUUGAUUUGGUAAUAGCUAAUUUGAGUUUUCCCAAGGAGGAUUAGUUGGUGACUUUUUUGUAGUACGGUGGCUAAGACUCAGAUAGACUACUUACUCCUUAGACAGUGUGAUAGAAAUUUAUCCCGAGUGAGUAUCUUAUAACUCAACAUAAGCUUUUAGCAAUGGAUUUAGAGAUUAAGAGGAAGAAAAAGCGGAGGGCUUUGUAUGACUUGUCGAGGAUUAAAUGAGGUGGCUGACUACUAAUAGAACUACGCGAUGGGAGAGAAGUUGAUGACGAUGAGGGCUUGGGGGAGUAGUGGGGAUGCAAAUAGAAUGUGGGAUUGGACAACUAAUUGCAUUAGGGAAUUAAGUAGCUAGAGAGGUGUUGAGGGUCUCGAGAGGUAAAUAAUGUAGGUGGACAUCGAGGGAAUUGGUAGUGGAAUGGAGCGGUCCAAGGAAAAGUUGAAUAUGAGAAGUGGUAUAUUGUUGUUGUGGGAUUACACAGGGUAUGUUGUUCUGGCAUGGAGUGGUCAGCUGUCAAUGUAUCUGAGCCCACAUUUUCAAGAACAAUAUCACCAGCAACUUCUUCCAGCUUUGAUAGAAGUAUUUGAUGAUUUGAUAUUCCUCGAAUCAAACUUAUCCAUUAUAUUUUGAAACCUUACCAGCAUGAGAAAGUGAGUGAAUUAGUCGCGUUUCUACAGAUAAUGUCACAUUUACCAAUCUACAACAUGUUUAUUCGUUCACGUGUAUAUGAGUAAAUGACAUAAGCUUUUAUCUGUCAUAUCUUGUUUCAUCACAGGUACUUUACUUUCCGGGGUUCAAAAUGAGCAUUUUUUUUUUGGUUUUAAGUCUCUGGUGUUCUUGAUCUAAACUUCAUUUGCUCGGGAUACUGCAGAGGACUCUGCAUAUGUAUAUGAUUCUAUAAUGCUUUUAUCUGUACGCUAUCUUGGUAACUGCUACUGAAGAUACAAGUCGAAUGCUUCUUGCCAAAUCCUUCGAAUGCAUUACCUUGAUUAUGUUGAAAAGGUGAAUAAAGUUUCUAUCUUUACGUCUCCUUUAAGAAGGCAUCGUAUAAUUAUACUGUUUCCUGGAGCUGUCGAUUAACUUACUAAGAACCAUAUAGACAAUGCAAAUGCUUAGGGGCAGAUUUCAUUCCUCAUUUGAGUGUUCCCAAUAAUUCAAAUGAUGAAAGGUUCGAUCUUCCUAUAACACUCGUAUGAAGUUUCACUUAAAAUGCUUGUCAUAUGUAUUAGUCACAUUAUGUCUGGAUGUAGAUGGUUGUGAAAUAAGCAACUUAUCGAAUUAGAUGUCUUCAGUACGUUGACAUAGUAAUAUGUCGUGUAGCACGCUUAAUGGGACUAAAAAAAUCGCGAUAAAAAGUGAACUUCUGGAAGAAAAAGCCUUGAUCUGUCAUACCUAACUUGUGGGUUGUUAGUGCUUUAGUAAGAAUGACUGCUAUUUCUGCAAUGCCAUUACUGUUAAACUCAGCUCCUUGUGCUACGAAGAAAGGGCGUCCUGUAACAGGUUGUUAAGUCCCUAGUUCAAACGAUCUCUAACACUAUAGUCCCAGCUUUGCUUGACGCGUUAAAAUAAGGAGUUAAAGGUACAAGUUUAAGCAAGACUAUUGGAGGCGUUGAACGAAAACAUUCAGAGUAAUGAUAGAACAGCAGAAGAAAAGAAGAACUAUAGUACACCUUUUCCGCGAUAUUGCUGAGCAGUAUCGAGAAGAAGUAUUCAGGCAAGUCUUACGCGAUUUUCAAUGUCUUAUCAGUCAUGAUCAUAAGCACAUUUGGCUUAACUGAGCGUCGUUGUUGAUUAUUAGGCUUAGCUGAACCUCGCUAAAAAACUGUAACGUAGCAUUGUAAUGCCAAAAACCCGGACAACAUCAUGGCUUACGAGGCUGCUGUUAAACCAGUUUGUCUCUGAAGGCAUCUACAUCUAUGAGGUAGAACACAUAACAAACACUCGAUGACUCGAUACAAGACAUUUAUCGAAUGACAUAGUAUAAACGUUCUUGUUUAAUGAUGGAGAGGCAAGUAUUCCUCGUAGGCUAUAGCAUUAAGCAAUCAAUAAUUAUCAAAACAUCAACAUUUCUUAUA